Long non-coding RNA from Rhinichthys klamathensis goyatoka, 481 nucleotides. RefSeq lists it as uncharacterized. The transcript has 3 exons. NCBI's taxonomy places the organism in Eukaryota, Metazoa, Chordata, Actinopteri, Cypriniformes, Leuciscidae. The record is from RefSeq and is a predicted model, not a curated record.
GUCGGUUUGUACUUCGGCAUGGUAGCAGAAUCAGGAAAUCGACAGCACGAGUGGUGAUGUGUCAGGUUGUCACUGUUGCAGGAAUAUGCUGCGAAACAACUUGCAGGUCGAAUUAUUAGACUUUGGCUGUAGUAGAUGCUUGAAGAAGUCUGCCUAUUCAACAUACAGUGGCACAAGAGCUCCCCAUGAGAGUGCCUGUCUUAGAAGGUACCACGGCAAGCCUGCAACAGUGUAUUCUUUAGGCGUACUGUUGUUCAGGAUGGUGUGUGGGCAGUUCCCUGUCAAGCAGCUCCCUGAGAUCUUUCCCAGGAACUGGUACAUAGAAGAACUUUCCAAAGAAUGCGUAGGUCUGAUCUGUUCAUGCCUGGAAAGUGAUCCAGCCAAGCGGAUUGUUGAUUAUAUGUGUAUAUAUACACAUACUGUAUAUGCAACUAAUAUAUUAUAAUUUACCAUUGUAUAGUUCCAAGCAGCAAUUACAGAU